AUGAUGUAUUGAGCAAACAUGCCAGGAGAAAAGAUGAUGACUGACCAUUGGAUCAAGCUGAAUUAGGUGUUGGAUCAAAGUUCUGUAAUCAGGUGAGGACCUAAGAAUUGUUGAAGCUCUGAAAUGAGAGGGACCCAACUGGAAAGACAAAGACAGCUGUUAGUAGUAGUAGCCAUUGUAAUGCCAAAGGCUAAGCUGUAAUCAAGGGAGAAAAUAGAGGAAAACAGAUUCGGAAACUGAAAAGCCAGGCAACACAAUAAGUUUAGUGGCCAGUCAUAUGUCAUACAUAGACCUACCUACUCCAAAUUUCAGCAGCCACUGUGGUAAACAUUCUAUGUGAGCUCAAAUUCUCUGUGGCAAUGUCCCAAUUGACAAUGAUAAUUCUUUCUGCUUUGAAUUCAGGCUCUUCUCCAAAGGUCCAGGAUCACACAAAUGUCACAGGCAAGCUCAGCAAAGCCUGAGGAAGCAAAUGUUUCCAAGACUAACUCUAACUGUAGGUAGAGGGAACAAUAAUGUGGCCUGUACAUGGCAGCAAAAAUGAAAGAAGUUCCAGGAGCAACUCCACGCAUGCCUGGGACCACAUGGACCGUUUGUAAGAGAGAUGCUGAUAGAACAAUAACUUGGAGCCACGGGCAAGGAAACAUGAACCACGAGUCAACAAACCCACAUGGAGUUUAUUGAAAAGAAAGGGAAGAAGAGAAGGGGGGUGUUGGCCAACUGGGAGCAGAGAAAAAGAGAGAAGCGAAGAGGGGCAGAGAAGGGAGAGCAA
This is a non-coding RNA of Cricetulus griseus (Chinese hamster), 769 nucleotides long. The record is from RefSeq and is a predicted model, not a curated record. NCBI's taxonomy places the organism in Eukaryota, Metazoa, Chordata, Mammalia, Rodentia, Cricetidae.